Long non-coding RNA from Diospyros lotus (date-plum), 225 nucleotides. RefSeq lists it as uncharacterized. NCBI's taxonomy places the organism in Eukaryota, Viridiplantae, Streptophyta, Magnoliopsida, Ericales, Ebenaceae. The transcript has 3 exons. The record is from RefSeq and is a predicted model, not a curated record.
AGUGGGAGAAAUUGAAGAGAGAAUGAAGCGCGGCCGCAGCGAAAGAAAUGAAGAAAUGAGAAAAAAAUUAAGAGAUUUUGGAGGUUAUUUUGUGUCUAAAAUAUUUUGAUAAGAAAUAUUUUACUUCGCAACGGAAGCACAAAAGAGGCAGGAAUCAGUCGAUUGUAGGUAAGAGAAUUGUCUAACGUAUCAGGUUCGUUCGAUGAAGUUGGGUCCAGAUCGUCG